AGCAAAUUUCAUCCAUUUCUACUGUUAAAAGUUGGCAUUGCUGGCAAAAUAAUCAAACAGUUAGAUGUGGCGUGCCACGUAUACCUCAUUCUGACAUACAAUGACCAAUUUUUAAUAAUAAAAAUAGAUAGAAUUUUUAACA
RNAcentral lists this microRNA precursor (142 nucleotides) under Gossypium hirsutum (cotton). RNAcentral's name for it is "MIR7502 microRNA precursor family". It matches the Rfam family "MIR7502 microRNA precursor family". Lineage: Eukaryota; Viridiplantae; Streptophyta; Magnoliopsida; Malvales; Malvaceae. The record is from Rfam by way of RNAcentral. RNAcentral also lists the same sequence under 1 other name.